Long non-coding RNA from Nasonia vitripennis (jewel wasp), 773 nucleotides. RefSeq lists it as uncharacterized. The record is from RefSeq and is a predicted model, not a curated record. The transcript is spliced from 3 exons. Lineage: Eukaryota; Metazoa; Arthropoda; Insecta; Hymenoptera; Pteromalidae.
AAAUAUGCGCUCAGGUGGCUCCUCCUUACCGGCAGAGACCGAUCACCGAUCGGAGGCGCGCUGUGUGCCAUCUCGUCGCAGCGCCCAAGACCAUCUUCCGAGGAGUCAGUAGAAUUUUACGAGCCGUCGGUGCUGUACCUGCGCGUUAACCUGCAUACCCGAGACAGGCUCUGUACUUGCCUCCGGACUGCAAGCUGCAAGUACGGUGUACGGUAAUAGGUCUACCUGGAAUAGGCCUAUCGUUCAUUUGUUGAGAGACGUAUUCAGUUGUUAUUGUAAAUAGAUUGCAUUGAAAUGCUGAAUGCAGUCCACGACGAUGAGUACGGUUAUGCAUUGAAUUUAUACUUUUACCGCUUUACAAUGUGUAGAUAUUUGUGGAUGACAUCCCCGCGAAAAGCCGCGGAGUUCUUCGGCAUCGGUGAAAAGCUGUGAACAAAGUCAAAGCAAAGGAAACCUCGGGAGGUGGAAGAUGCAGAAAUAAAAGAAAAAUAAUUGUACGAUAAACGAUUUGGUUUACUUUUAUUUAGUAUCCCGUAAGUUCAUAGUAUAAUGUUCUUCGUUAAAGCCGUAUGAUUCUUCCACACAUAGAACGGGAACGGCGUUCUCUUGUCCCUCUGUUCGUUCAAUUAAUCAUAAUCAAUUAAUAUCUGUUUGCCACACAUUUUUCCUCGAAACUCAUUUGUUUUCUCGCGAAUUUCUCAUUCCUCUUGCGCAAAAUCCGAAAGGAAAAACCAUACACACAUAUAUAUAUAUAUAUAUAUAAUAGAUCGCGG